GCGCGUCAAGGGCGUGCGAGGCCUCCCCAUCCACUCCUGCACCCUCCGACCUCUGCACACCUCCACCGGCAGGCAUAGGGCCGGACGGGCCAGGCCCCCGUGCUCGGUGGGCUCCCCAGUGCCGGCUUAGGCUUCAACCCCGCUGGCACCUCUCCCCACGUCCACCAGGCCCGGCAGCCUACACAAGGUGCUUCUGCUGCUUCCCUGCACCCCCUGGAUUUGUCACUAUUACGGGGACCGUCUCCUCACUUCCCCGCCAGCUUCCGAGCUGCCUGGGCCGGCACAUGGGACUUGCUUUGAAGCUCCAAUCAGGAGAGCAGGUCCCUCUUACCUUGAGGCCUCAUGUGUCUGACAUGGUGUCCCAAGUCACUGGUCUGAACGUCACCCGGCACCUUCCGACACCAGCUUUGGGAACUGGGACCAGCGCCACCGGUGAGCGGUCGGAGAAGGCAGGGGUAGCGGGUCUGGGAACAGCACCUGACACUCCCGGCCACCGUGGGCCCCACGUCGCUGCUCCUGCCCUGAAGAUGCCCACUUAUGGGGACAGGAGUUGUUGGA
This is a long non-coding RNA of Pteropus alecto (black flying fox), 558 nucleotides long. RefSeq lists it as uncharacterized. The record is from RefSeq and is a predicted model, not a curated record. The transcript is spliced from 3 exons. Lineage: Eukaryota; Metazoa; Chordata; Mammalia; Chiroptera; Pteropodidae.